UGAUCUUACUUCUUUCUCAGAAUUCCCUGCUCAUUCUAUUUUCCUUAUGUUCUUCUCUUGUUGUAACACUCUUUCUUCUUCUUUUCUUGUCCCUUCUACGAGGACGAUAUUCUGCCGGAAGAAGGUCGAAUUUGGAGUAGCCGAAGGUGAAGAAAUCGCACUCAGGUAACCUUCGAUCUCAAUACUCCCACCGCCUUCUAUUAUUUCUUCUUAUUCUUCAACUUCUUUAGCCUAUAGGAAUUGUGAUGGUUAUGCGAUUAACAUCGUGUUGUUCUUGUUGAGGGUGCGUGUGUGUGAGCAAGGAGCAGUGAGAGUUCGUGACGAGAGUGAUGUAUGGAUGAUGAGAGAUUCUAAGAGUUAUGGAUUUUAGAGAAAACUGUGAAAGAGAACGAAAUUUGAAAUCGUGAGUAAGGAAUUGUGAAGAAUGAAAAAAAUCUCUCCCUGAUUCAUGAAUAGUAAUGGAUUUACAGGAUUUGAUUUCUGUUAGAAUUUCAAGUGAAACUCAGAUUAAAAUUCAGUUGUAACUCACUUGCUGUUAGAAAUGCAAAAGUUGGUUAGAUUGAAAAGUUGGUUAGAAAAAGAAAACAAAAGUUAGUUGAAUGAGACCUCCCAUUUAAAUGAAAUGAACGUUGAAACUCAGAUUGAAGUGGAAUUCUCAAAUGAAUUGUCAAUAUAACUGCCCUUUAUGUAACUGACUUGAGUGAAAUUCAUUUUUUAUGCUUUAAGGAAAGCGCACGGCUACCGUUUAGUGUGUAAGUUAGUGAACGUUCAAUUAUGCUAAAAAAUUAGCUUGUUAGUUUUGUUAUGUUAUUAGGUAUUGUUGGUUUAGGGAUGAUGAAAAUGUUAGGAAUAAUGAAAAGUUGCUUCGUAUUUGGCAGGUUGAUCCUUGUAUUGGAACUGCUGGAACGCUCGACUAUGUCUAUUGUCAUUGGCUCUGGGUGCAAACCGAUUGAUUCAGUAAGUUAUAACAUAUUCAGUGUUUCCUUCUGGUUUUUCUUUUUCCAUGGAUUCGCACUGCAGGUCAAACUAAGUAAACUUUUUGUGUAAACGUGUAGGCAGAUUGAUUACAUUGGAUGAUCAAAAUUCUGAGCUGGCAUGGUUUUGCCGUGAAUGGGUUACAAGUCAACUAUUAGAAAGAUGGAAUUCUACUAAUGAUAAAAUGCCGACAUGGACCA
This 1175-nucleotide long non-coding RNA is filed under the name Lathyrus oleraceus (garden pea). Its description in RNAcentral is "Pisum sativum (pea) long non-coding RNA (PSAT_LNC040568)". Lineage: Eukaryota; Viridiplantae; Streptophyta; Magnoliopsida; Fabales; Fabaceae. The record is from RNAcentral.